This 492-nucleotide ribosomal RNA is filed under the name uncultured bacterium. RNAcentral describes it as "partial 16S ribosomal RNA". It matches the Rfam family "Bacterial small subunit ribosomal RNA", at positions 29 to 507 of the family's 1533-position model. The record is from RNAcentral.
AGUGAACGCUGGCGGUAGGCCUAACACAUGCCAGUCGAACGGCAGCACAGUAAGAGCUUGCUCUUACGGGUGGCGAGUGGCGGACGGGUGAGGAAUACAUCGGAAUCUACUUUUUCGUGGGGGAUAACGUAGGGACACUUACGCUAAUACCGCAUACGUCCUACGGGUGAAAGCAGGGGAUCUUCGGACCUUGCGCGAUUGAAUGAGCCGAUGUCGGAUUAGCUAGUUGGCGGGGUAAAGGCACACCAAGGCGACGAUGCGUAGCUGGUCUGAGAGGAUGAUCAGCCACACUGGAACUGAGACACGGUCCAGACUCCUACGGGAGGCAGCAGUGGGGAAUAUUGGACAGUGGGCGCAAGCCUGAUCCAGCCAUACCGCGUGAGUGAAGAAGGCCUUCGGGUUGUAAAGCCCUGUUGUUGGGAAAGAAAAGCAGCAGGUGAAUACCCCGCUGUUCUGACGGUACCCAAAGAAUAAGCACCGGCUAACUUCGUG